Phalaenopsis equestris is the source of this 579-nucleotide long non-coding RNA. RefSeq lists it as uncharacterized. The transcript is spliced from 3 exons. The record is from RefSeq and is a predicted model, not a curated record. Lineage: Eukaryota; Viridiplantae; Streptophyta; Magnoliopsida; Asparagales; Orchidaceae.
AUAACUCCCUCAUUCGCCAAUAUCAACAGCAGCUCCGACAGCUAACUGGCCAUUUGGAGAUGCAUGAUAAAUUAAACUUACCGUCGGAACAACAUAUUAACCAUUGUUCCUGAACAUUUAAAAAAAAAACAAUUUAUGAUACAAGAAGAAGAAAUUACAGAUCACAUCCUUUGUACACUUCUCCCUCCGAGGUUCGAUUCGAAGGCCAAUUCGUCGAUUGUUUUCUUUAGUAAAUUUGUGGAGCAUUGGGUUUGGGAUUCGAUUCGACGAACUUUAAGGCCGGCGGAUGACAGGAGCUUGAUAUUACUUUGAGGAUGAGCUUACUGGAUUCAUCGGCAUCUUUGCUUGCUACAUGUGGAGGGGACACUGUAAAGCUCUUUGAUGUCAGCGUUAAAUCUGGUGAUCCAUGUACUCUGAGCUAUACUCCUUCGCCCGGAUCUCAAGUGAACUCCGUUAAAUGGAAUCACACAAAUCUUGUUGUUGCCAGUGCUGGAGAAGAUAAAAAGAUAUCAUUGUGGCGUAAAAAUGGUCAAAGUAUGGGGGAGGUACCCCUCGGUGGCAGUAAUGUUGGUGAUGACA